UAUGUGUCGAAUUCAACCCCUACGCGUUUCAUAGACAAAAGAAACCCCUCAUUUGACAGGAACUGGCGGCUGACUGCUGAAUUACCGAUAUUUGUCAGCCAAACCAUCCCCUGGCAUUUUUUUUUGUUGUUAUUCGUGAUUUAUUUAUUAGAAAGUGGACGUUCGGAUCGUUAUAAGUGAAGUUAUAAACAGCGAGUUAUAUCAGUGUCCAAGAUAUAUAUUCGCAAUUGCGUAAACCCAGUAUAAUACUAUGGCGAUAUGAAAUGUACGAAAGAUUCUCAUAUUAGGCAUAAUAUGCCUCUGUUUGAUGAAGAAUGAACACAGAAGACCAAGAGAGGAAUACCAAUACCGCUAGUAUUAUACAUUCUAGCAGCACUUCGAUUCUAUGAAACGGGAUGUUAUCAGACUGUAUGUGCAUUCCAUCAAGCAUUCUAUGAAAUAACAGAAAUGCCACAAGUCAAGCUGUAUUGAUGGCACGCAUAGGUAUACAUAUAAACAACCCCGGAGGACCCUAUGCACAGAUUUAAAGAAACCGGCUAUCAUGGCAGGGAAUAGCUGUGAUGAGCUCUGAGAAUACUGUUUUACCAAGAAUACUGAGAAUACUUUGGUCCUUGAAAAUCCGAGUUUUCAGAUCACAGUAAUUGGAAGACCCACAUACCUUGAAAAGUCAGCAGCAUUUAAUAUAGAGGUAGUAGGAGUGAGUGCAGUAUGUUGUAAGGUGGUCACUCACUCUGAAGUCCAUAACAAUAGAAAAUGUAUACAAAUCUUAAUUGAAUGAAAUUUAUUGAUUCACAUCUUUAAUAAAGAUAAUUAUUAAAUGUUUA
Molecule: long non-coding RNA, 824 nt
Organism: Bicyclus anynana (squinting bush brown)
Lineage: Eukaryota; Metazoa; Arthropoda; Insecta; Lepidoptera; Nymphalidae
Exons: 2
Source: RefSeq, a predicted model, not a curated record